GAAAUUAAGGCUGCUGCACUUAACGUGCUAAGUGGAUAAUGCCAGAGAUUACACAAUAGGCCAAAUAAUUCAGGGAAAGACGGUCUGGGGGCAGUGUCAGUAUUCUCUGCAAAAGAAGCUAAUAAUGUAUCUCUUCUCCUAGGCUUCCAGACAGUUCGUGUUGGGACAGUGGGCACCCCUGUGGGCACCAUCACUCUUUCUUGUGCUUACAGAAUUAACUUGGCAUUCAUGUCUACCAGGCAAUUUGAGAGGACCCCACCUAUCAUGGGGAUUAUUAUUGAUCACUUUGUGGACCGUCCCUAUCCCAGCUCCUCUCCCAUGCACCCCUGCAAUUACAGAACUGCUGGUGAGGACACUGGAGUAAUAUACCCAUCUGUAGAAGACUCUCAAGAAGUGUGUACCACCUCUUUUUCCACCUCCCCACCAUCCCAGCUGAUGGUUCCUGGGAAGGAAGGUGGGGUACCCCUUGCUCCCAACCAGCCUGUCCAUGGUACCCAGGCUGACCAGGAGAGACUGGCAACCUGCACCCCUUCUGACGGAACCCACUGUGCUGCCACACCCUCCAGUAGUGAGGAUACUGAAACCGUAUCAAACAGCAGCGAGGGACGGGCCUCACCUCACGAUGUCUUGGAGACCAUCUUUGUCCGAAAAGUGGGGGCUUU
RNAcentral lists this small RNA (662 nucleotides) under Pan troglodytes (chimpanzee). Its description in RNAcentral is "retained intron". Lineage: Eukaryota; Metazoa; Chordata; Mammalia; Primates; Hominidae. The record is from RNAcentral.